UUGGUUAAGCUAAUAAGAGCGCAGGGUGGAUGCCUUGGCACUAAGAGCCGAUGAAAGACGUGAUAAGCUGCGAAAAGCUUCGGGGAGGAGCAAAUAUCCAUUGAUCCGGAGAUAUCUGAAUGGGGAAACCCGGCUGAGAAGACCUCAGUCAUCCAUACGCCAAUACAUAACGUAUGGAAGGGAACCCGCUGAACUGAAACAUCUAAGUAGGCGGAGGAAGAGAAAGAAACAUCGAUUCCCAAAGUAGCGGCGAGCGAAAUGGGAAGAGCCCAAACCAGAGUGCGUGCACUCUGGGGUUACGGACUGCAUAAGUGAGCUGAUUCGUUAAUGGAACGGUCCUGGAAAGACCGGCCAGAGAGAGUGAAAGCCUCGUACAUGAAAACGAUAGGCAGCGGCAGGAUCCAGAGUACCGCGAGACACGUGGAACCUUGCGGGAAUUCGGGGGGACCACCCCCCAAGGCUAAAUACUCCUUAGUGACCGAUAGCGCAUAGUACUGUGAAGGAAAGGUGAAAAGGACCCCGGGAGGGGAGUGAAAGAGAACCUGAAACCCUGUGUUUACAAGCUGUGGAAGCACGUUAAGGUGCAACCGCGUACUUUUUGUAGAACGGUCCGGCGAGUUGCGGAUGCUGGCGAGGUUAAGGAGUAAAGCUCCGGAGCCGAAGCGAGAGCGAGUCUUAAUAGGGCGUAAAGUCAGCAUGUGCAGACCCGAAACCGGGUGACCUAUCCAUGUCCAGGUUGAAGUUCCCGUAAAAGGGAAUGGAGGACCGAACGCACAUCCGUUGAAAAGGGUGGCGAUGAGGUGUGGAUAGGGGAGAAAUUCCAAUCGAACCCGGAGAUAGCUGGUUCUCCUCGAAAUAGCUUUAGGGCUAGCCUCGUAUUAGUUUAGCGGAGGUAGAGCACUGAAUUUCCUAGGGGGCGUCAAAGUCUACCGAAGAAUAUCAAACUCCGAAUGCCGCAUAAAUGAUGUACGGGAGUCAGACUGCACGAGAUAAGUUGGGUAGUCAAAAGGGAAAGAGCCCAGACCUACAGCUAAGGUCCCAAAGUGUGUGUUAAGUGGAAAAGGAUGUGGGAUUUCGAAGACAACUAGGAUGUUGGCUCAGAAGCAGCCACACAUUCAAAGAGUGCGUAAUAGCUCACUAGUCGAGAGGUCCUGCGCCGAAAAUGUCCGGGGCUAAAACACAACACCGAAGCUUAGGAAUGUAAUUAUACAUUGGUAGAGGAGCAUUCUUAAAGAGACGAAGCAGUACCGAUAAGGAGCUGUGGAUUUUUAAGAAGAGAGAAUGCCGGAAUGAGUAGCGAGAUGGAGGUGGGAAUCCUCCAGGCCGAAUAUCUAAGGUUUCCAGAGUAAAGCUGAUCUGCUCUGGGUAAGUCGGGGCCUAAGGCGAGGUCGAAAGACGUAGUCGAUGGAUAACAGGUUGAAAUUCCUGUACUGCAUAUCAUCAGAACUGUGGGGACACAGAGAGAUACCGGAACCUGGGAGUGAAGAUACCAGGGCAAGCGAGGUAGGUGCUAAGCUGGCAAAUCCGCUUAGUAAGCCGAAGACGUGAUGCGGAGCGAAUUAAAGUAGUGAAGUCCGGGAUUCGAGCUGUCGAGAAAAGCCGCUAUUGCGUGAUAUGUACCCGUACCGUAAACCGACACAGGUGGAUGAG
This 1650-nucleotide ribosomal RNA is filed under the name Clostridium sp. AF24-2LB. Its description in RNAcentral is "partial 23S ribosomal RNA". It matches the Rfam family "Bacterial large subunit ribosomal RNA", at positions 1 to 1671 of the family's 2925-position model. The record is from RNAcentral. Lineage: Bacteria; Bacillati; Bacillota; Clostridia; Eubacteriales; Clostridiaceae.